AAAAGGUUGCCUGCUCUGUUUCAGAAGCCCCCUCUGAAGACGGAGCCUAUCUGUAAAUUAAAGAUACAUGCAUGGCGCCCUCCUCAAAAGGCUGUCGUGAGAAUUCAGUGAGCCAAACCUCACAUGCCUUAAAGACGAGGACCCAGGACAGACCAGGAGUCUAAAAUACCGGAGGACCCAAUGAACUCGGAGGUUCUAAUGAGGUGUUGAGCGUAUCACUCCAUUCAGAAGACUGUCUUCUGGCUUCAGCUGCUCAUCAGGGGGUUUAAAAUACUUGCUUUCCCCCCUUCUUUCUCCCUUGCGUCGUGUUUUUAGUGUUUGUUCCCAACCAAUCUGCGAUCGCCUGCAAUUAGAUCAUUUUCCCCACUCGACUCUCCUGCAGUGCGCCAGAGUCUGGACACCUAGGUGAAUUAGUCACCCCCAGCUACUGGUUGCUGCGUUUCUCUCGCUGCUCUGACAGGGAGCAGAGGCCUCCCCCGAGCCCUGUCCCUAGCUGCAGGGUCCUCACGGAAGGCAGGCAGCAAUGCUCCGCAGGUGUGCAGUGGUCCCUGACUGACGGUUUCCAGGGCACACACCCGCAGGUGCACACGUGUCCCUGCACCCUGGCCCUGGGACCCGGAGGGAGGCGCCUGACCCAAGAACUAUAGUCAUCUGGCUUCCAGGGAUGGCUGAACCAAUCAAAUUCCUUUGUUCAGAAAUCCACACUAAAACAAACCAAAACAAAACAAAACAAAAACUACAGACAGCACAUUUACCCAUUUACCCACUGUUCGCAACUGCUACCACUGAAGGGUCACACAGCGGAGGUGGCCGUGGGGGCAACCGGCCAGGAUGGAGGGGCCGCUGGCGGCCCAGCGGAAAGGAGCAGAUGGGAGGCGCGUGUGGCCAGGCCUGACCAGAGUGGAGGGCCAAGGUGAAGGUCCAGGCUCCAGGUGCGUCCUCAGAGGUUUGACCUGAUUACAGCUCCACGUGGAUCCUCAAGAUGAAGCCUGUUUUAAUAGUGCCGGCUGAGCAGGAUGGUCUUUAUUGCAAACAGAUGAUCCCAAUCCGGCUCAUCGGUACCCUCCCAUAAGAUGCCGUCCGAGCGCAGCUCCCUGAUCUCAGAACGAGUCAGCCUGGCCGUGGCUCUGGGCUGGCCGGUGGGACCGGAGGCCAGUUGCCAGGCGUGGCCUCUGAGUAGCUGUGACUUUAAGAGCUGCCUCUAAAACAAGUCCUUGUGGCUCACUUACAGGGCACGUGCUUGUGCGAGGAGAUAGUACCUGUCCCUCGUCCCUGUGGACGGCUUGGCCACACCAAAUGGAUGCUGAGGCAGCAAAUAACAUGGAGUAGUUUGGUUAAAGUCUCCACAUGCUGGUUCUCAGACCACACCUGGCACAGGCAAGUACCCCACCUUCCACUUCUGUUGAAUUUUCCAAGUUCCCUGCAUUGUUUGGACAAGUGCUCUAUAAAUAGGUGUUGAAUAACUGAACUGAAAACAAUGACCUAACACAGAAGAUGUCAAGCAGUACUAAAGAAUAGCUAAGCUAUGGUGAUGGAGUCUCUUAAUGGAUUCCUUUUCAGAAGCAGUGCCUCGUCACCAUUGUGUUUGUUUGCACUUCAUUCUAAUAACAUUUAAACCAUACAGAAUUAAUGUAGUCUUAAAUGUGGAUGUCAUUAGUGUUCCUGAAAGAUUUCUUGCCCUGGAAUUUUUAAUGAAUUCAUCAUGAAUUUAAAUUUGUUUUAGCUACGUCCCCAGGGCUGGCCCCAUGCUUAGAAAAUGACCCAUCCAGUAUAAUUUGAUGGGUGCCAGAAUAGGCCAUCUGCUCAAAAAUACUUCCUGCCCUGACUCCAGAAAAUUCACCCUUACAGUUUCACUUAAUAAAUCAACAAAUAAUUUGAUUGAUAAUCAAGUCAGUAAAUAUUUACAAAAUACCUACAACUUGCCAAGAACCAAAGGUUGUACAAAGAUGAAUAUAACACAGUUCCUGCCUGUGGGGACCUCUGAGCUUGAUGUCAAGUUAAGAAAUAGAUAUUUAAAGAUGCAUGAAUGACAUAAGUUAUUUGUUAGAAUCCCUAAGCUAUGCUAAGGAGUGACUUUCUAGUUCCCCAAGCUUUGCAAUCACAAGGGCCUCUAAUUGCGGGGCGAGGGGAGAUGGAAGGUAAUAAUACGUAGCCCAUGAUUAUAGGGACUUUGGAGCCAGUGGUGCAAAUUAGGUGCUUUUGAGUAAACUCCUUUCCUCCCUCAGCCUGCUUCCUUGUCGGCAGCAGAGAAAUUUGACUGAAAUGGUAUAUUCAAAGCAUUUGGGAUACCGUAUUUGGUGCAAUGCCUGGCUGGAGUAGACCUAGCACAAUGUUAGUUCUUGUCCCCUCGUCAUUUAACUGGAGAAGACUAAGCAGUGAGAAACCCUCGUUUCUUCAGCGCUUUCUUCAUUAGACACUUACCAAGCACUUACUAAGUGUAGAUACCAGGUUAGAGGCGGGGAUAACAAGUAGAACAGCAUUCCUGUCCUCACAACGGUCUGGUUGGGGCCAGGACGUAGGAGGGUCAGGGCUGAGUCUGGAGGAUGAGUAGGAGUUGACCAAGAAAGGCAGUAGGGGCAUUUCACUGGGAGAGGACAGCAUUACUGAAGGCUUCUGAGCUAAGGAGAACAAGGUGUUGCAGGAGCCCCGGGCAACGGGAAUAGGCUGGAGGAAGAUGGACCCGCUGAUAGGUAUUUUUGUCAUCCGUCUAAGAGGUGAUCAGGACCUGAGGCCGACAGUGGGGGUGCGAAUAUUCCUGAGAUUGGCACAGGAGAAACCACUAGGAAGAGUUAAGAGGACACUUGAGGAGGAAGGUGUCAUAGAUGGGUCUGUUUUUCAGCCCCGUGUCUGGUCAUCAAUGCCUUUUAAUAGAAGGUUUAAUUCCUGUGAGAGGAAGCGGGCUUGGGCAGGUGGCAAUGAUCUCAGUUUCAGACCAGCUGAGUUGUAGUGGCUUUCAGGAGGAAAUGCCAUUCCUCUGUGUACGUACGUUCCAGGAGCCACCUGCCAUGUGCAAUAUGCCUACAAGUAGUAACCUACUGCAUCCAUAUGUCUUGCUUGUGCAAGAUUUUGUGGAAGGGAGAAAAGUAGGAGCACAGAGAUGUGGGUGCUUGGAAUGUAUUUAGUAAGAAGGCGAGAAGGAUCCUGGUCCCAGGUGCGGAGAUGCAGACAAAAGUGAGGUGUUUCUCUCUCUCCCCCAAACCAAGCCCAACACCAGUCACAGGCCCCAUGCUCUGCAUCAGAUAAGAAUAUGGUCCUUAUUGAGGCCACUCUGGGCUCCUCUCCCCUGCUUCCUCUCUACUUUGGAACAUCUCAGGAGUGAAGGGUCCCUUUUCCUUCUUAGACCAUCUCUUCAUCAGAUACCGAUCUGUGCCUGUGGCCACGGUCAUUCUCACUAAUUACUCGUGCCCUGGACUCUUCAGUUUCACCAACCCUAUUGUAUUCAUCUUUGCCUAAAAAGACUGGUCAAUUGUACCUUGUCUUAAAAAGAAUAAACGGAACCAAUCCUUCCCAAACCUUGUUACACCUUGAAUUACCAUUUUCUUUGUCCUCAUCCCUUCAACUGAGACUUUUUUUUUAAUUGAAAAAAUAUAGUCAGGAGUCACAAUACUGUCCGUUAUACUCCCUGGACUUACUCAUCUUGUAACUAAAACUUUGUACCUUUUGACCUCCUUCACUCAUUUCAACCCCACCCCUGCUUCUGGCAACUGCCAAUCUGUUUUCUGCAUCUAUGAGUUCAGGUUGUUUUAAGACCUCUACAUACAAGUAAAACCGUAAACUAUUUUGUCUUUGUCGGACUUAUUUCACUUACCUAAUGCCUUCAAGGUCCAUCUAUGUGGUCACAAAUAGCAGGAUUGCCUUCCUUUCUGGGGUCAAUAUUUCAUUCUAUAAAUAGACCACAUUUUCUUUAUCCAUUCAACCAUCAGUGGAUACUUAGUUUGUUUUCAGGUCUUAGCUAUUGUAAAUAACGCUGAUACGAACAUGAGAGUCCAGAAAUCUUUUCAAGAUAGUGAUUUCACUUCCUUCAGACAAAUACCCGGAAGUGGAAUUGCUGAGUUAUAUGGUAGUACUAUUUAAUACUUUUUUUUUUUGAGGAAAUUCCAUACUGUUUUCCAGUUUACAAUUGAUAUUCCCACCAAUAGUGUACAAAGGUUCUCUUUUCUCCACAUUCUUACCAAUACUGGUCUUUUUGGUAAUUGCCUUUCUAACAGGUGUGAGGUGAUAUGUCAUUGCCUUUUUGAUUUGCAUUUCCCUGAUAACGAGUGAUGUUGAACAUCUUUUCAUGUACCU
Felis catus (domestic cat) is the source of this 4287-nucleotide long non-coding RNA. RefSeq lists it as uncharacterized. The transcript has 3 exons. The record is from RefSeq and is a predicted model, not a curated record. Lineage: Eukaryota; Metazoa; Chordata; Mammalia; Carnivora; Felidae.